CCUUCGAUAGCUCAGUUGGUAGAGCGGAGGACUGUAGAUCCUUAGGUCGCUGGUGCGAAUCCGGCUCGAAGGG
RNAcentral lists this transfer RNA (73 nucleotides) under Orbicella faveolata. Its description in RNAcentral is "tRNA-Tyr". It matches the Rfam family "tRNA". Rfam says of the family: Transfer RNA (tRNA) molecules are approximately 80 nucleotides in length. Their secondary structure includes four short double-helical elements and three loops (D, anti-codon, and T loops). Lineage: Eukaryota; Metazoa; Cnidaria; Anthozoa; Scleractinia; Merulinidae. The record is from RNAcentral.